Molecule: ribosomal RNA, 1503 nt
Filed under: uncultured Fangia sp.
Lineage: Bacteria; Pseudomonadati; Pseudomonadota; Gammaproteobacteria; Thiotrichales; Fastidiosibacteraceae
Description: bacterial SSU rRNA
Rfam family: Bacterial small subunit ribosomal RNA
Source: RNAcentral
AGGGUUCGAUUCUGGCUCAGAUUGAACGCUGGUGGCAUGCUUAACACAUGCAAGUCGAACGGUAACAGGACUAGCUUGCUAGUUGCUGACGAGUGGCGGACGGGUGAGUAAUGUGCAGGAAUCUGGCUUUAAGUGGGGGAUAACCAUUGGAAACGAUGGCUAAUACCGCAUGUGCCCUGAGGGGUAAAAGUGGCCUUAGUGCUGCUGCUUAGAGAUGAGCCUGCAUCUGAUUAGCUAGUUGGUGGGAUAAAGGCUUACCAAGGCGACGAUCAGUAGCUGUUCUGAGAGGGAGAUCAGCCACACUGGGACUGAGAUACGGCCCAGACUCUUACGGGAGGCAGCAGUGGGGAAUAUUGGACAAUGGGGGGAACCCUGAUCCAGCAAUGCCACGUGUGUGAAGAAGGCCUUCGGGUUGUAAAGCACUUUCAGUUAUGAGAAAGUAUGUAGUAUUAAUAGUAUUGUAUAUUGAUGUUAGUAACAGAAGAAGCACCGGCUAACUCCGUGCCAGCAGCCGCGGUAAUACGGAGGGUGCGAGCGUUAAUCGGACUUACUGGGCGUAAAGGGUUCGUAGGCGGAUUAAUAAGUCAGAUGUGAAAGACCUGAGCUCAACUUAGGAAUUGCAUUUGAUACUGUUAAUCUAGAGUGUAGUAGGGGGAAGUGGAAUUUCCGGUGUAGCGGUGAAAUGCGUAGAUAUCGGAAGGAACACCAGUGGCGAAGGCGACUUCCUGGGCUAACACUGACGCUGAGGGACGAAAGCGUGGGUAGCAAACAGAUUAGAUACCCUGGUAGUCCACGCAGUAAACGAUGAGUACUAGCUUUUAGAUUCGGUGUUAAGGAUUUAGAAGCGCAGCUAACGCAUUAAGUACUCCGCCUGGGGAUUACGGCCGCAAGGCUAAAACUCAAAGGAAUCGACGGGGACCCGCACAAGCGGUGGAGCAUGUGGUUUAAUUCGAUGCAACGCGAAGAACCUUACCUACCCUUGACAUACCAAGAAUCCUGCAGAGAUGCGGGAGUGCCUUCGGGAAUUUGGAUACAGGUGCUGCAUGGCUGUCGUCAGCUCGUGUCGUGAGAUGUUGGGUUAAGUCCCGCAACGAGCGCAACCCUUGUCCUUAGUUGCCAUCAUUAAGUUGGGCACUUUAAGGAGACUGCCGUGGACAACACGGAGGAAGGCGGGGACGACGUCAAGUCAUCAUGGCCCCUACGGGUAGGGCUACACACGUGCUACAAUGGGCAUUACAAAGGGUUGCGAGCCAGCGAUGGUAAGCCAAUCUCAAAAAGAUGUUCACAGUCCGGAUUGUUCUCUGCAACUCGAGAGCAUGAAGUCGGAAUCGCUAGUAAUCGUGAAUCAGAAUGUCACGGUGAAUACGUUCCCGGGUCUUGUACACACCGCCCGUCAAACCAUGGGAGUUGGAUGCACCAGAAGUGGUUAGCUUAACCUUCGGGAGGGCGAUCACCACGGUGUGUUCAGUGACUAGGGUUAAGUCGUAACAAGGUAACCAAGGG